This 397-nucleotide ribosomal RNA is filed under the name uncultured bacterium. RNAcentral's name for it is "partial 16S ribosomal RNA". It matches the Rfam family "Bacterial small subunit ribosomal RNA", at positions 523 to 918 of the family's 1533-position model. The record is from RNAcentral.
AUACGUAGGGGGCGAGCGUUGUCCGGAAUGAUUGGGCGUAAAGGGCGCGUAGGCGGCCCGGUAAGUCUGGAGUGAAAGUCCUGUUUUUAAGAUGGGAAUUGCUUUGGAUACUGUCGGGCUUGGGUGCAGGAGAGGUAAGUGGAAUUCCCAGUGUAGCGGUGAAAUGCGUAGAGAUUGGGAGGAACACCAGUGGCGAAGGCGACUUACUGGACUGUAACUGACGCUGAGGCGCGAAAGUGUGGGGAGCAAACAGGAUUAGAUACCCUGGUAGUCCACACUGUAAACGAUGAAUGCUAGGUGUAGGGGGUAUCGACCCCUUCUGUGCCGCAGUCAACACAAUAAGCAUUCCACCUGGGGAGUACGGCCGCAAGGUUGAAACUUAAAGGAAUUGACGGGG